Molecule: ribosomal RNA, 406 nt
Filed under: uncultured cyanobacterium
Lineage: Bacteria; Bacillati; Cyanobacteriota
Description: bacterial SSU rRNA
Rfam family: Bacterial small subunit ribosomal RNA
Source: RNAcentral
GUGUCAGCAGCCGCGGUAAUACAGAGGGUGCAAGCGUUGUCCGGAAUGAUUGGGCGUAAAGCAUUUGUAGGUGGUUUCUAAAGUCAACUGUUAAAUCCCAGAGCUCAACUUUGGACAAGCAGUUGAGUACUUAGGGACUUGAGUAUGGUAGGGGUAGAGGGAAUUCCUAGUGAAGCGGUGAAAUGCACAGAGAUUAGGAAGAACACCAGUGGCGAAAGCGCUCUACUGGGCCAUUACUGACACUGAGAGAUGAAAGUCGGGGGAGCGAAAAGGAUUAGAUACCCUUGUAGUCCCGACCAUAAACGAUGGAUACUAAGUGCUGUCAAAAACAGUGCUGUAGCAACGCGUUAAGUAUCCCGCCUGGGGAGUAUGCUCGCAAGAGUGAAACUCAAAUGAAUUGGCGGGG